GGAGAGAUGGCCGAGCUGGUCGAAGGCGCUCGACUCGAAAUCGAGUAGACUGUGAUGAGCGGUCUCCAGGGUUCGAAUCCCUGUCUCUCCGCCA
This 94-nucleotide transfer RNA is filed under the name Peptococcaceae bacterium BRH_c4b. RNAcentral describes it as "tRNA-Ser". It matches the Rfam family "tRNA". From Rfam's summary of the family: Transfer RNA (tRNA) molecules are approximately 80 nucleotides in length. Their secondary structure includes four short double-helical elements and three loops (D, anti-codon, and T loops). The record is from RNAcentral. RNAcentral also lists the same sequence under 1 other name. Lineage: Bacteria; Bacillati; Bacillota; Clostridia; Eubacteriales; Peptococcaceae.